CCUACGGGAGGCAGCAGUGAGGAAUAUUGGUCAAUGGGCGAGAGCCUGAACCAGCCAAGUCGCGUGAGGGAGUACUGCCCUAUGGGUUGUAAACCUCUUUUGUCGGGGAGCAAAAGCCGGACGUGUCCGGCUGUGAGAGUACCCGAAGAAAAAGCAUCGGCUAACUCCGUGCCAGCAGCCGCGGUAAUACGGAGGAUGCGAGCGUUAUCCGGAUUUAUUGGGUUUAAAGGGUGCGCAGGCGGAUUUUUAAGUCAGCGGUCAAAUCGUGGGGCUCAACCCCAUCCAGCCGUUGAAACUGGGGGUCUAGAGUGGGCGAGAGGGAUGCGGAAUGCGUGGUGUAGCGGUGAAAUGCAUAGAUAUCACGCAGAACCCCGAUUGCGAAGGCAGCAUACCGGUGCACAACUGACGCUCAGGCACGAAAGCGUGGGUAUCGAACAGGAUUAGAUACCCCUGUAGUC
This 458-nucleotide ribosomal RNA is filed under the name uncultured bacterium. RNAcentral's name for it is "partial 16S ribosomal RNA". It matches the Rfam family "Bacterial small subunit ribosomal RNA", at positions 338 to 795 of the family's 1533-position model. The record is from RNAcentral.